AAGGGAAGCACAGCAUGGGUGGGUUAGACUAUAAGGGCUUGUGUAGUGUUAGUGGUGAUGGACUUUUUGAGAGAUUCGGCUGAUGAUGCUGCAGGAAAGAUCAUUUCUGUUAAUUGACGCUGAAUUUGCUGAAGCUGCUGGGAAAAGAAGCAGAGAAACUGCUUUCAUUUUUACCACUGGAUAAAGAUUGAUUACGUCUAUACAAGAAUAAUAAGGAAAAGUGCUUGUGGAAACUGUCUUUUCUGAACACCAGUCUCAUCAGCACAGUCCUCAGUUCACUGGAGGUGAGGUAUUUCAACUUAAGCUGUUAUACCCCGCAGUAGAGCAGUUUUUGACUCAGUAAUCACAGUGCUACACUUUAUUUACGAUUUCAAAUAAUUUCUUGCAGAUGCAGUAUAACUGAAACCAUUGUUUUUUUUUUUUGGCAGUUCUAAGAGGACACUUUACACUCUUCAACCGCUAAAAAAUAUAUGUUGCUGCCUAAAUUGUUUUCAGUAUUUUAAAAAUAAACAGUGUCAAUAGCCCUAUAGUCAAUAGCCCCGGCAUUAGUAUUACCUGGUGACCUCCAGUCAUUUGUAAUAAUUGCGGAGAUUGUCUGUGAUUUUAAUCCCGUGCGAAU
Sinocyclocheilus anshuiensis is the source of this 619-nucleotide long non-coding RNA. RefSeq lists it as uncharacterized. Lineage: Eukaryota; Metazoa; Chordata; Actinopteri; Cypriniformes; Cyprinidae. The record is from RefSeq and is a predicted model, not a curated record. The transcript has 3 exons.